AAUACGGCAAGCACUGGAUUCUG
Molecule: non-coding RNA, 23 nt
Filed under: Cricetulus griseus (Chinese hamster)
Lineage: Eukaryota; Metazoa; Chordata; Mammalia; Rodentia; Cricetidae
Source: RNAcentral